CAUUACUGAGCUCAUGCCCUGUAGGGUAGAUCUCUCACCCGUGACAUCUCUCACCUGUGUUGCUUUGGCGGGCCCAAGCCCUCGCUGCCGGAAGGCAGGUGUCCGCCAGAGGCCCAAAUUCAAUGUUUGAUAUGUCGUCUGAAGAUUAUACAAUAGUUAAAAACUUUCAACAACGGAUCUCUUGGUUCUGGCAUCGAUGAAGAACGCAGCGAAAUGCGAUAAGUAAUGUGAAUUGCAGAAUUUAGUGAAUCAUCGAAUCUUUGAACGCACAUUGCGCCCUAUGGCAUUCCGUAGGGCAUGCCUGUUCGAGCGUCAUGACAACCCUCAAGCGCUGCUUGGUCUUGGGUCUCGCUACUCAGUGGGCCUUAAACGCAGUGGCAGUGCUUCCAGGCCCUGAGCGUAGUACAUCUUCCGCUACAGCUGCCGGGAGGCUACCAGCCAGCAACCCCUAUCUCUCUAGGUUGACCUCGG
This 471-nucleotide ribosomal RNA is filed under the name Chlorociboria pardalota. RNAcentral's name for it is "eukaryotic LSU rRNA". The stretch from base 162 to 315 matches the Rfam family "5.8S ribosomal RNA". Lineage: Eukaryota; Fungi; Ascomycota; Leotiomycetes; Helotiales; Chlorociboriaceae. The record is from RNAcentral.